GGCAAGGGAUGGCAAUGACCUUGGAGGACUGAAAAUCCUUGUGUCGCCAGUUCAAUUCUGGCUCUGGCCA
RNAcentral lists this transfer RNA (70 nucleotides) under Simkania sp. RNAcentral's name for it is "tRNA-Leu". It matches the Rfam family "tRNA". From Rfam's summary of the family: Transfer RNA (tRNA) molecules are approximately 80 nucleotides in length. Their secondary structure includes four short double-helical elements and three loops (D, anti-codon, and T loops). The record is from RNAcentral. Lineage: Bacteria; Pseudomonadati; Chlamydiota; Chlamydiia; Parachlamydiales; Simkaniaceae.